Molecule: long non-coding RNA, 4090 nt
Organism: Ostrea edulis (European flat oyster)
Lineage: Eukaryota; Metazoa; Mollusca; Bivalvia; Ostreida; Ostreidae
Exons: 2
Source: RefSeq, a predicted model, not a curated record
UCAGGGAAAGGUCUUGAUCCAUUAAAGAAUUCUGAAAUAUGGAAUAAAGAUAAAUUAAUACAUGUAUUCUGAAGGAAUAAUUGAAUGAAAGAAUAAGAUCCUCUUUUUUUCCAAUAUGAGUUAUGGGUUCGGUUUAAGUUAUGAUUCUGCUUGUUUUGCUUUGAAAUUGCACAAGUAUUAUUCUGUUUUGAUUUUUUUUUCCAGUUUCAUUUUUUAAUCCUUUCCUAUUUUAAACCGUUUUUUCUUCCAGGCGUCGUGUCUAGGCUGCGACUUCUAGUUUUUAUUUACUCUGUGCUGCCACACGCAGAGGAUUUCUGUACUUUUUUAAACAUCUCACGUCAAACAGACCUUUUCUUAAGCCACCUCUCAACCCCGCGUCUACUUGUCAAGGAUGAUAAGGUAAACGAAAAGCCCGUAUGAAAAGCAAUUCUACGUUAGUUUUGACCCAUGUCUCCUGAUCAUAUCGAUUUUGUUGAAAUUACCCAGUCUUCUUUGUUAAAUUCUGAUUUAAUAUCUUUUAUCGUAAAAAUGUAUCCAUUUCUCCCGUUGCUGGGUUAAGUGUAAAAUUCUGGGCUUUGGGACUUCAAUUUUGACGAUUUUGGCACGACAGGGGAUUCGAUUGAAGAAUUCCCCUCUUACCAGACAAUGUGGUUAACGAUAAGAUUUGAAGUGAAGUUAAUUCUUUAUUGAUGAAUAAAAAUCUUGACCAUAGUUCUAAGGAACUUCUGGUGGUUUUAGAAAUUUUCUAACAUAUUCUACAUCCAUUAAAUUUUAUAGAUUGGUUUUGACAUUUCCCAUUAGCUGUUUAGAAAUGACUAAUCCAAGAACUCUCGCAAUUGAGGAAAUCCUAUUUUCAUAUUUCCUAUUAUGAUUAGAAGAUGAUUUUGGUAUUCUAUUUAUGGGGAAAACAUUUGAUAUCAUCAAAGGCAAACGAGGUCCUUUAUUUGUUACUAAAUAGUGAAGAGUUGUCUGUUAAAAUCGCUUCCAACUCUUCGCCUUUUUAUUUUGGUAUGUUCGGAGGAGUAGAGUUACGUGUACCUUUAAAAAGCAUAAAGGAAUCAUUUAUGAUAUCAAUCCAACCCUUUACCACAAGAGAAUGAUCAGGCAAUAUUUAAAAAAUCAUCGGAUAAAAUGUGUCCAAAUUAAAUUGUUAUCGCGAUACCACUAACACGGUUCAUGCUCGCGAUGCUUUUCAAUGCUUGGUGGGCGGUAAUCGCAUGCAAUUAAGUGGGGUAUUAUUAAUUAGCCCGUGUUAACCGUUGUAAAUGACGUGAGAGCUAGCUAAUGUAAAUCUAUCAACUAAGGUCUAUGAAUGUCUAGAUAUCAAAAUUCAUUGUCUGAUUGCUUUGCGAUAACCAUUCGAUGCCAUCGCUUCAGGACCUCGCCCUUCUUCAAUGGCGCCUUACACUCGGCAUGGAACGAAACCCAAGACUGCAAUAAAUCACCCUUUUCGAAUUUAAUUAUGCUCUUUCUUUUAAUAACGUUUAAUUUGAUCCCUUCUUUAGAUGGAACUUCGAUGCAUUUAAUCACAGACGACAGUGUACAACUUUAUUCGAGUACUUUCCAGACUUGGUGAUGAAUCGGCAAGUUGCACGGCAAUGUUUGUGUACCGGUUGCUAGUUUUUAAAUCGGUAUCACUUUCCGUUAUUGUUUUGACAACGUUUUACUCAACAUAUGAUUUUUAAAACUGUGCUAAUAUUUAGAUUAAACAAAACUAGAGAAAUAAACUUUGUCCCAUAUCAAUCCUUUAUGAAAAAAUCUAAUAUCAAUAUAUACUUUAUUAAAAAGACAAAUACAUUUGCAUUGAUCGUCGAUAUUUUUAAAUUUUGAUCUUUAAAUUUCAUUUAGAAAAUCUAUUCAUUUGUUUGUUGUCCUAAAAUGGUAUCUUGAUCAGAAAUACAAUAUGUACAUAGUAUAAACAUAUAUGAAUCAUAAAAAACCCUUGAGUCAGAGAAAAUGGAGACAUUGCCGUAUAUCCGGAACAAAAAUGAUCACUGUGAUUUAAAUAUGAAAGUGUAUUUUUAACUUUUAGCUUUUAGGAACACCAGUAUCAAUAGCUAAUUCAACUUUGUUAUUACUUUACUGGAGUCAAUAUUUAAAAAGUUUAUAUUUUGAAGAAUUAAGUACUUCCUGAUUUCCAGUUUCCUGUUCAAUCAAUAUAAGAACUUAGUUACGGUGUUAUGACGAGUUCGUGAUUAGAUACCUAUAAGUAUAUAUAACAACCAAAUAAAAACUAAAUAAAUAAAAACACUAGAUGAAAAUGAUUUGAACUCCUUUACGCCAAUAUUGAUCUCCUGUAACAGCAUUUCACUAUAUUAUACAUGUACAUGUCCUUGUUCUAUCUAAAAUGUGGAAUUAUUCUUAUGAUUUUUAUUUAUUUCUAUUUUAUGUUUAACACAGGAAUGCGUUUUCAGAGCUCUUCUGGUCGGUGCGUGUGUUUUGUAUCUGUUAUUGUGGACAUGCACAUUACACGUAAAGUGUACGUAGACAUUAGAAUCGUCAUGUACUCCCCAAAGAUAGGAUGUAGCUCUUAAUUCACUUCCUCUGUUUUGUUUUAAGUAGAAGCAAAAUACUUUCAUAUUGUCGAUGUCGCUCCUUUUUAAUACGGUAAAAAACAUGUUUGUUCCUCUUCGAAUUGGGGGUGGGGGUGGGGGGGUGGGGGUUGAGGUAAACAUUAUAUACUCAAUUAGCGUCAUUCUCCCUGAUGUCGUUAUAACGUUUUACCACCUGUAUCACAUUAUAUCUAACAUUAUAUUUUAUAUAGUAAAUUCGACCCCCAAGCGAUACAAUUGCCUAUGGUUUGUAACAGUAUUGAACAUCUCGCACAUGUAUAGGCCUAUAUCAGGAUUUCGCCAGUCAGGUAGCUGGCUAUUGAACAUCCCGUAUAUAUCAGGAUUUCGCCAGUCAGGUAGCUGGCACUCAAACACCCCAAUUCAAAUUUCCGAGCUUGUUUGAAUAAUGUUUGGUAGCAAGGGAACAAAUAAGGUUGAAAUGCAAACAAGCGUCUACACGGCUUUCGCUGUUGUAUCGGCGAUCAAACACGCAAACGGAGUUCCGGAGACAUAGUUUAAUCAAAUAUUGAAUGAUGACUUAACAAAAUUUAUUUUACUGGAAUAUAUAUGAUUAUAGGUCAAGAUAUUUGCACAGUAUGUUCAAAUGAAAUCAAGAGGCGUGAUUUGGACGUAAGUUGGAAAAAAAAUGGGACGUUGUCCUUAUUCAUAAGAUCAACAGACGUUGGUGAAUUUAGACAGAAAAUUUACUUCUAUAUUGAAAAUACAUUGUACAUAUUUCUAGUUAUUUUUUCACUUUCGAUAUCUGAAGCUUUAUUUGCAUAUAAAAUAAAAUUUGUUUUGAAGUUGAUAGCGAUUCUCUCAAUUAUGCAGGAAACGAAAUAGUGUUUUUAAAGAAAAAUUUAACAUGCAUGCAAAACAAAUAAUCAAACAAAUGCAACAAAUGAGGAAAAGAAAAACUUUUUUUUUUCAAACUGGAUGAAAAUGCAAACUAAAUUUAUGUUUUUAUAAGUAACAUUAACACGAUUUACCAUAAGCAAUGUAAUUUAUUCCCACAAUUAAGAUUUCAAUUGCGUCCGAAACAGUGGAGGAGUGUUAUAUAGGAAGUGGUACAAUAUAUUUCAACUUUUGAAUAUCAUGGAAAAUGUACAAAUCCCAUUUUUUUUAAAUAAAGGAAUUCUACAUUUGUACAUUUACAACCAAACAAGGUAAAAAAAAAAUUUAUCAAUCGAGUUUUGUUUCUUUGUAUCAAGUACCCUCAAAAGAUUAAAAUUAAUAUCCGUGUACACUCAACAUUAAGACAGUGUUCUGUACUCACCAUUUCUUCUCUAAGUUUGCCCAUGGCUACGUCUAUGGUUGUGAUCUUCCCGCCCCGGGGGGAGGGAUUCGUCUUAGGGGUCUGUUUCCUCGCCUCAGCGUCCUCCAUUCUUUUCAGGUAGAAUUCUCUGCACUUGUUGGAUAACUCAAUAGAUUCACUGUACCUAUCUGUCGUCAGUUCCAUACUGUUGAUAAUUAAUUAAGUAGUCGGGAUUAAUUAAGAGUUCGGCUGGAACUCGUGUCUUUGAAUUCUGUUCUACAAC